RNAcentral lists this ribosomal RNA (253 nucleotides) under uncultured bacterium. RNAcentral's name for it is "partial 16S ribosomal RNA". It matches the Rfam family "Bacterial small subunit ribosomal RNA", at positions 524 to 776 of the family's 1533-position model. The record is from RNAcentral.
UACGUAGGGACCAAGCGUUGUUCGGAUUUACUGGGCGUAAAGGGCGCGUAGGCGGCUUGACAAGUCACUUGUGAAAUCUCCGGGCUUAACUCGGAACGGCCAAGUGAAACUGUCAUGCUAGAGUGCAGAAGGGGCAAUUGGAAUUCUUGGUGUAGCGGUGAAAUGCGUAGAUAUCAGGAGGAACACCUGCGGUGUAGACGGCUUACUGGACCAUAACUGACGCUGAGGCACGAAAGCGUGGGUAGCAAACAGG